Molecule: small RNA, 561 nt
Filed under: Pan troglodytes (chimpanzee)
Lineage: Eukaryota; Metazoa; Chordata; Mammalia; Primates; Hominidae
Description: retained intron
Source: RNAcentral
CUGGGCCGGUCCGACGGUGUGGCCAAGAUGAGCCCCAAGGACCUGUUUGUCCCAACUGGACGGGAGGCUGUGGGUCCUGCCCGUCGGGGGAGUGACUGGUGUCUCCCGGUUCAGAGCAGAGGAAGAAGUAUUCCAACUCCAACGUCAUCAUGCACGAGACUUCGCAGUACCACGUCCAGCACCUGGCCACAUUCAUCAUGGACAAGAGCGAAGCCAUCACGUCUGUGGACGAUGCCAUCCGGAAGCUGGUGCAGCUGAGCUCCAAGGAGAAGAUCUGGACCCAGGAGAUGCUGCUGCAGGUGAACGACCAGUCGCUGCGGCUGCUGGACAUCGAGUCUCAGGAGGAGCUGGAAAACUUCCCGCUGCCCACGGUGCAGCGCAGCCAGACGGUCCUCAACCAGCUGCGCUACCCGUCUGUGCUGCUGCUCGUGUGCCAGGACUCGGAGCAGAGCAAGCCGGAUGUCCACUUCUUCCACUGCGACGAGGUGGAGGCAGAGCUGGUGCACGAGGACAUCGAGAGCGCGUUGGCCGACUGCCGGCUGGGCAAGAAGAUGCGGCCGC